This 253-nucleotide ribosomal RNA is filed under the name uncultured bacterium. Its description in RNAcentral is "partial 16S ribosomal RNA". It matches the Rfam family "Bacterial small subunit ribosomal RNA", at positions 524 to 776 of the family's 1533-position model. The record is from RNAcentral.
UACGAAGGGGGCUAGCGUUGCUCGGAAUCACUGGGCGUAAAGCGCACGUAGGCGGUUGGGUGAGUCAGGGGUGAAAUCCCGGAGCUCAACUUCGGAACUGCCUUUGAUACAGCAAGUCUUGAGUCCGGAAGAGGUGGGUGGAAUUCCUAGUGUAGAGGUGAAAUUCGUAGAUAUUAGGAAGAACACCGGUGGCGAAGGCGGCCCACUGGUCAGGUACUGACGCUGAGGUGCGAAAGCGUGGGGAGCAAACAGG